AAGGGAUGGUGGUCGUGUAGUUGGCUAGCGUGUAGGUCUCAUAGCUUCGAGUUAUCUUGAGGUCGAGAGUUUGAGCCUCUCUCACCCCACCAUCUUUUUUUUAUGCUAACAAU
This is a long non-coding RNA of Cucurbita maxima (winter squash), 113 nucleotides long. RefSeq lists it as uncharacterized. The transcript is spliced from 3 exons. Lineage: Eukaryota; Viridiplantae; Streptophyta; Magnoliopsida; Cucurbitales; Cucurbitaceae. The record is from RefSeq and is a predicted model, not a curated record.